RNAcentral lists this ribosomal RNA (837 nucleotides) under uncultured Pseudomonadota bacterium. Its description in RNAcentral is "bacterial SSU rRNA". It matches the Rfam family "Bacterial small subunit ribosomal RNA", at positions 58 to 889 of the family's 1533-position model. Lineage: Bacteria; Pseudomonadati; Pseudomonadota. The record is from RNAcentral.
CAAGUCGAGUGCGCAGUCUUCUGUAGCAAUACAGGAGAUCGGCGCACGGCGCACGGGUGCGUAACACGUGGGUAACCUGCCCUCCAAAGGGGGAUAACCCGCCGAAAGGCGGGCUAAUACCGCAUGACAUUCCGGUGGCUUCGGCCGCCGGAAUCAAAGCCCGCAAGGGCGUUGGAGGAGGGGCCCGCGGCCGAUUAGCUUGUUGGCGAGGUAACGGCUCACCAAGGCUUUGAUCGGUAGCCGGUCUGAGAGGAUGGCCGGCCACACUGGAACUGAGACACGGUCCAGACUCCUACGGGAGGCAGCAGUGGGGAAUCUUGCGCAAUGGGCGAAAGCCUGACGCAGCGACGCCGCGUGGGGGAUGAAGCUUCUCGGAGUGUAAACCCCUUUCGACCCGGACGAAACGCCCGCAAGGGCUUGACGGUACGGGUAUAAGAAGCCCCGGCUAACUACGUGCCAGCAGCCGCGGUAAGACGUAGGGGGCCAGCGUUGCUCGGAAUUACUGGGCGUAAAGGGUUCGUAGGCGGUGCGGUAAGUCGGAAGUGAAAUCUCUGGGCUUAACCCAGAGGCUGCUUUCGAAACUGCUGUGCUAGAGUGCGGGAGAGGCGAGUGGAAUUACAGGUGUAGCGGUGAAAUGCGUAGAUAUCUGUAGGAACACCCGUGGCGAAGGCGGCUCGCUGGACCGCAACUGACGCUGAGGAACGAAAGCUAGGGGAGCAAACAGGAUUAGAUACCCUGGUAGUCCUAGCCCUAAACCAUCAGGACUUGGGGUGGCCCGCGUUGGCGGGUCGUCCCGGAGCUAACGCGUUAAGUCCUGCGCCUGGGGAGUACGGUCGC